Molecule: ribosomal RNA, 451 nt
Filed under: uncultured bacterium
Lineage: Bacteria
Description: bacterial SSU rRNA
Rfam family: Bacterial small subunit ribosomal RNA
Source: RNAcentral
AGCGAACGCUGGCGGCAGGCUUAACACAUGCAAGUCGAACGGAUCCUUCGGGAUUAGUGGCGGACGGGUGAGUAACACGUGGGAACGUGCCUUUUGGUUCGGAACAACACAGGGGAAACUUGUGCUAAUACCGAAUGUGCCCUUCGGGGGAAAGAUUUAUCGCCAUUAGAGCGGCCCGCGUCUGAUUAGCUAGUUGGUGAGGUAAAGGCUCACCAAGGCUACGAUCAGUAGCUGGUCUGAGAGGAUGAUCAGCCACACUGGGACUGAGACACGGCCCAGACUCCUACGGGAGGCAGCAGUGGGGAAUCUUGCGCAAUGGGGGAAACCCUGACGCAGCCAUGCCGCGUGAAUGAUGAAGGUCUUAGGAUUGUAAAAUUCUUUCAGCGGGGACGAUAAUGACGGUACCCGCAGAAGAAGCUCCGGCUAACUUCGUGCCAGCAGCCGCGGUAAU